This 1482-nucleotide long non-coding RNA is filed under the name Equus asinus (donkey). RNAcentral's name for it is "lncRNA (ENSEASG00005027130.1)". Lineage: Eukaryota; Metazoa; Chordata; Mammalia; Perissodactyla; Equidae. The record is from RNAcentral.
GCUGGGGGUGGGGUGGGGGUGGUUGGAGAAGGGGCCCAGGGCUGGGGUAGCGACCUGCUGAGGAGGGGGAGGAGAGGCGGGAAGGGGCGGAGGAGGAAAGGGGGAGGCGGGGGCCAGAGACGGGUCUCCGGUCCCAGCUCUCAUCCCCCUUCCCUCCUUCCCAACCUCCCAGACCCUCAGGCGGGGGCGAGAGUCAGGCCAAGGUGGGGAGGAAGGGGAAGGGAGGAGGCUGCCCCCGCCCCCCCCACACAACCUGGCCCAGAGCCCAGGCCUGGGUUCCCAGCAUGCCCCGGGGCUGCCUGGGGCCUGAGGUGGGGGUGAGAGGAGAGGGGAAGCUGAGAAUCUUCAAGAUUUGCAGGACCUGAGCAUCUCCCCACUCCCCCAACAAAUUUCUCCUUGGGGAAACUGAGGCCCAGAGAGAAGGGUCAGGACUUGUUCAAGGGUUCACAAAUCCCUCGGCACCUAAGACUCAGCUACUGCAGUUCCCACAAAUCCCUGAGACUCUGGAUCCACCAUUCCCAGCAGCCCCCGUGGCUCAAGAUCCGCUAUUCCCAUCAGCCCCUGAGACUCAGGAUCCGCCAUUCCUGUCAGCCCUGGAGACACAAGGGCCACCAUUCCCAUCAGACAUUGGCACACAAGUACUGCUUGCAAUUCCCAUACCCCUAAGAUACAGGGACCACCAUUUCUAUCCAUGCCUGAGACACAAGUUCCACCAUUCUUAUACCCUGGAACAACAUGCCAAUGGAAAACAGAAGCAUUCUGCCCUUUACCAGGCCGUCCCCAGGUUCCUAGGACUGUUAACCAGGAAGACACUUCCGCCUGCCCUUGGGUAGGUCUGAGUCACCUGUCAAUGCUGUAGACAAGGAGGCACCAGCUCAUGAAGAACAUCAAAGCAGAGAAUCUUCCACGUGAGGGAUCAGCCUGAAACCCGAGAUAAUCCUACAGCACCACCAGAGAAUCCUUCCAGGAACAGAAUUGUAUUGUAUGCAGCAAGGCAAUGAAGAGCACAGACUCUGAAGCCAGAUUGCCCAGGAGAGAGAGAUUUGAAGAUACAGAGGAGACCCACAGGGAGGAAGGCCAUGUGACAACGGAGGCAGAGACUGGAGUGAUGCGUCUCCAAGCCGAGGACUGCUGGACCAUCAGAAGCUGGAAGAGGGGAGGAAGGAGCCUUCAGAAGGAGCUGAUACCUUCAUUUCUGACUUCUGGCCUCCACAACUGGGAGAGAAUCGAUUUCUGUUGUUUCAAGCCACCCAGUUUAUGAUAAUUUGUUAUGGAAGUCCUAGGAAAGCAAUACAGGAUCUAUGUUAACCUAUGUGUCUUUCCAUUCUUUACUUCACACAUACACACACAUGAGUUUACACAUAUUUAAUUUGCAUUAAAAUUCAGCUUCAGGGGCUGCCCCCGUGGCACAGUGGCUAAGUUCGUGCACUCCUCUUCUGCAGCCCAGGGUUCAUAGGUUCAGAUCCUGGGCGUGGACCUAGC